AUACGGAGGAUCCGAGCGUUAUCCGGAUUUAUUGGGUUUAAAGGGUGCGCAGGCGGCCAUUUAAGUCAGCGGUUAAAUCGUGGGGCUCAACCCCAUUCUGCCGUUGAUACUGGGUGGCUUGAUUGCGGUCGAGGUUGGCGGAAUUCGUUGUGUAGCGGUGAAAUGCAUAGAUAUGACGAAGAACACCGAUUGCGUAGGCAGCUGACCAGACCGCAAAUGACGCUCAUGCACGAAAGUGCGGGGAUCGAACAGGAUUAGAUACCCUGGUAGUCCGCACAGUAAACGAUGAAUACUUGUUUUCGGCAAUAUAAUGUCGGAGGCAAAGCGAAAGCGAUAAGUAUUCCACCUGGGGAGUACGCCGGCAACGGUGAAACUCAAAUGAAUUGACGGGG
This 392-nucleotide ribosomal RNA is filed under the name uncultured bacterium. RNAcentral's name for it is "partial 16S ribosomal RNA". It matches the Rfam family "Bacterial small subunit ribosomal RNA", at positions 523 to 918 of the family's 1533-position model. The record is from RNAcentral.